CUUUAUUACUCCCCGGGAGCAAUUGUUGUGUUCCAUCACAUGCAACACGAUCUAUGACUCCUUCUUAUUUUCCUAAUUACAGCAUUAACUAUGCGAGAUCUAGUCUCCUAAACAGGCUAAUGACUCUUGGCAAUGAAAACUCUUCUACCUUUAGUUAUUUUAAUUUUUAAAUUUGUAUGGUCGUUGAGGAUAAAGUCUAAAUAAAUAACUAGUCCAAUAAACUCUGGAAUACUAAAUUGAAAACGGUUAGUUCAUGGAAUUUUGAUUACUCCAGAUUAU
Cinara cedri is the source of this 279-nucleotide non-coding RNA. NCBI's taxonomy places the organism in Eukaryota, Metazoa, Arthropoda, Insecta, Hemiptera, Aphididae. The record is from the annotation of a GenBank genome assembly.